Molecule: transfer RNA, 42 nt
Filed under: uncultured eukaryote
Lineage: Eukaryota
Description: partial Selenocysteine transfer RNA
Source: RNAcentral
GUUCAACGUGGUGGCGGUGGCGGACUUCAACAUGGGCGCGAU